This 253-nucleotide ribosomal RNA is filed under the name uncultured bacterium. RNAcentral describes it as "partial 16S ribosomal RNA". It matches the Rfam family "Bacterial small subunit ribosomal RNA", at positions 524 to 776 of the family's 1533-position model. The record is from RNAcentral.
UACGAACUGUGCGAACGUUAUUCGGAAUCACUGGGCUUACAGGGUGCGUAGGCGGCUUGUUAAGUAGGGUGUGAAAGCCCCCGGCUCAACCGGGGAAUUGCGCCCUAAACUGGCGAGCUGGAGUGAGAUAGGGGUGUGUGGAACUUCCGGUGGAGCGGUGAAAUGUGUUGAUAUCGGAAGGAACACCGGUGGCGAAAGCGGCUUCCUGGGCCAGCACCGACGUUCAGGCACGAAAGCGUGGGGAGCAAACAGG